RNAcentral lists this ribosomal RNA (1333 nucleotides) under uncultured bacterium. RNAcentral's name for it is "bacterial SSU rRNA". It matches the Rfam family "Bacterial small subunit ribosomal RNA", at positions 27 to 1381 of the family's 1533-position model. The record is from RNAcentral.
GGAUAAACGCUAGCGGCGUGCCUUAUGCAUGCAAGUCGAGCGGUCUAUCGAAAGAUAGAUAGCGGCAAACGGCUGAGUAACACGUAAGUAACCUAUCCCAAAGUGGGGAAUAACCUGCCGAAAGGUGGACUAAUGCCGCAUGUGGUAAUGGGGUUAGUUCCUCAUUAUUAAAGCUUACGGGCGCUUUGGGAGGGGCUUGCGUCCUAUCAGCUUGUUGGUGGGGUAACGGCCUACCAAGGCGACGAUCGGUAGCCGACCUGAGAGGGUGACCGGCCACACUGGAACUGAAACACGGUCCAUACACCUACGGGUGGCAGCAGUAGGGAAUAUUAGUAAUGGGCGAAAGCCUGAACUAGCAACGCCGCGUGUGCGAAGAAGGCCUUCGGGUCGUAAAGCACUUUUUGAGAGGAUGAGGAAGGACGGUACUCUCAGAAUAAGUCUCGGCUAACUACGUGCCAGCAGCCGCGGUAACACGUAGGAGGCAAACGUUAUCCGGAUUUACUGGGCGUAAAGCGCGUGUAGGUGGUUUGGUAAGUAGGGCGUGAAAGCUCCUGGCUCAACUGGGAGAGGACGUUCUAAACUGCCAAGCUUGAGGAUGGUAGAGGGAGGUGGAAUUCCGGGUGUAGCGGUGGAAUGCGCAGAUAUCCGGAGGAACACCAGUGGCGAAGGCGGCCUCCUGGACCGCUCCUGACACUCAGACGCGAAAGCUAGGGUAGCAAACGGGAUUAGAGACCCCGGUAGUCCUAGCCCUAAACGAUGUAGACUUGGCGUCGGUGGUUUAAUCGCCAUCGGUGUCGUAGCUAACGCGAUAAGUCUACCGCCUGGGGACUACGGCCGCAAGGUUAAAACUCAAAGGAAUUGACGGGGACCCGCACAAGCGGUGGAGCAUGUGGCUUAAUUCGAUGCAACGCGAAGAACCUUACCUGGACUUGACAUGCUGGUAGUAGAAUCCUGAAAGGGAGACGACGGUAGCAAUACCGAGCCAGCACAGGUGCUGCAUGGCUGUCGUCAGCUCGUGCCGUGAGGUGUUGGGUUAAGUCCCGCAACGAGCGCAACCCCUGUGGUUAGUUGCCCUUAUUCAGUUAGGCACUCUAGCCAGACUGCCUGUGAUAAGCAGGAGGAAGGUGGGGAUGACGUCAAGUCAGUAUGGUCCUUAUGUCCAGGGCUGCACACGUGCUACAAUGACCGGUACAGAAGGAAGCAAGGCCGCGAGGCGGAGCUAAUCCCCAAAACCGGUCUCAGUUCGGAUUGGAGUCUGCAACCCGACUCCAUGAAGCUGGAAUCGCUAGUAACGGCGCAUCAGCUACGGCGCCGUGAAUACGUUCCCGGGUCU